CAGUAGGGAAUCUUCCGCAAUGGACGAAAGUCUGACGGAGCAACGCCGCGUGAGUGAUGAAGGCUUUCGGGUCGUAAAACUCUGUUGUUAGGGAAGAACAAGUACAAGAGUAACUGCUUGUACCUUGACGGUACCUAACCAGAAAGCCACGGCUAACUACGUGCCAGCAGCCGCGGUAAUACGUAGGUGGCAAGCGUUAUCCGGAAUUAUUGGGCGUAAAGCGCGCGCAGGCGGUUUCUUAAGUCUGAUGUGAAAGCCCACGGCUCAACCGUGGAGGGUCAUUGGAAACUGGGGAACUUGAGUGCAGAAGAGAAAAGCGGAAUUCCACGUGUAGCGGUGAAAUGCGUAGAGAUGUGGAGGAACACCAGUGGCGAAGGCGGCUUUUUGGUCUGUAACUGACGCUGAGGCGCGAAAGCGUGGGGAGCAAACAGGAUUAGAUAC
RNAcentral lists this ribosomal RNA (441 nucleotides) under Bacillus sp. (in: firmicutes). Its description in RNAcentral is "bacterial SSU rRNA". It matches the Rfam family "Bacterial small subunit ribosomal RNA", at positions 352 to 785 of the family's 1533-position model. Lineage: Bacteria; Bacillati; Bacillota; Bacilli; Caryophanales; Bacillaceae. The record is from RNAcentral.